This is a microRNA precursor of Oryza sativa Indica Group (long-grained rice), 195 nucleotides long. It matches the Rfam family "MIR812 microRNA precursor family". Lineage: Eukaryota; Viridiplantae; Streptophyta; Magnoliopsida; Poales; Poaceae. The record is from Rfam.
AAUAAGUGCAUUUUUGCACUAUUCACGUUCAACGUUUGACCGUUCAUCUUAUUUGAUUAGUAUUUCUAUUGCUAUUAGAAGAUAAAACAUGAAUAGUACUUUAUGUGUGACUAAAUAUUUUCAAAUUUUUCACAAAUUUUUCAAAUAACACGGACAGUCAAAUGUUGGGCACAAAUAUCCACUGCUGCACUUAUU